Molecule: long non-coding RNA, 1317 nt
Filed under: Mus pahari (shrew mouse)
Lineage: Eukaryota; Metazoa; Chordata; Mammalia; Rodentia; Muridae
Description: lncRNA (MGP_PahariEiJ_G0005325.1)
Source: RNAcentral
AGCGAGAGUGAAGGGAGGGAGCUGGAGGAGAUGCUGUGAUAGGUCAGGAUAUCAGGGCAUGCAGGUGGCAUGGACCAGGGGCAAGGCUUGGCUUGGCUUUGCUUUGAGAGAAGAGGAAGUCAUUGUCAGAUGAGCAGAGGCGUGAGUCAGCCUGAUGAGUUUGCAAGAUGGCUGUGGUCGAUGUCACCUUGAGAAUAGGCUUCCGCCGAGGAAGGACAAACAUCGGGGCCUGGAUGAGUCAGUUUAAGAGUCUGAGUAGCCCAGUCUUCUGUACAUUGAUGGGCUCAUGCUUCCCUUCAUGAAGACAUAGCAAAUGAGUAGCCUGUAAUUGCUUCCAUCCAUGAAGAUACAUACCUUUAAUUGUCGUGUAGACACAGAGAAAAAUAUAAUUUGAACUUCAUUUAUCCCAUGGUUUUUCUUGUUAGGGACUCUUCCCAGGAUGACGGAGAUAUCAUAAUUAUAAUUCUCACUAAAGCCUGAUAUAAACAAGUGAACAGUUAGUAAGCGUUCAUUUCUAUACAAGAAGCUAAGUCCUCUUCAUUCAUGGCCUCCAUGCCGCCUGUGUGUGAUGGUGGGGGGGGGGGGUCACACCACAAUCUUUCUCCCACCACCCAGCGGAGGACAGAGAGGCUCCGAGUGUUUCGGUGAAGGCUACAAAAGAGCUUCACUCUGAGCUUCAGCAGGUGACCUGGCUGAGGGAGACCUCAGCGGGUGACGGCGAGGAAUGCUGGGGUCCCAAGACCCCAAGACAGGGAGCUGUUGGGAGGACAUUAGAACCAAUUCUCAACCCCGGGGGUUGUGACCCACAGGUUGAGAACCACUGCAUUGCAGCAGGUACUACCCAGCUAGGGAGUGACAAAUCCCAGAAUCCCCCUCCCCAUCCUAUGGACUUUCAAUUGCUUCACUUCCUUGUCAUUAUUGUCCCUUGUGAUUCAAGUCAUGGAAAAAGUCACCACGGGAGUUCUCUGAUCAAGGACAGCUCUUUCUUAUAUUUUCCAUCCUCCAGUUGGUGUUUAGCAACAAUGUUGAAGUUUGGGACUGCUACGGAAACAGCUGUUGUGAAUGUUUAUACACAAGUCUUUUGCUGGCAGAUCUCUUCAUUUCUCUGGAUAUAAUUCUCAGCUUCACGAGGACACAAAUCAAAAUAACGGAUGGCUGGGCCGCUUUAAUCUCCGCUUCUCACCCCUUCCCCUUUGAACUUGGUCACUGUCAUGUUCCUAAUCUCUGGAGAUUCCGCCUCGAUCCCUUUCAAGAGCCAUCGGCCCCAUCUCUUUGGUUUGGUCUCCUGGAUGUGGCAUAAAUAUUUCUGUCCCUUUG